RNAcentral lists this ribosomal RNA (650 nucleotides) under uncultured bacterium. RNAcentral's name for it is "bacterial SSU rRNA". It matches the Rfam family "Bacterial small subunit ribosomal RNA", at positions 851 to 1500 of the family's 1533-position model. The record is from RNAcentral.
GCUAACGCAUUAAGCACUCCGCCUGGGGACUACGAUCGCAAGAUUAAAACUCAAAGGAAUUGACGGGGGCUCGCACAAGUGGUGGAGCAUGCGGUUUAAUUCGAUGCUACGCGAAAAACCUUACCAACCCUUGACAUGGUAGUCGCGGAUCACAGAGAUGAGAUCCUUCAGUUAGGCUAGACUACACACAGGUGUUGCAUGGCUGUCGUCAGCUCGUGUCGUGAGAUGUUGGGUUAAGUCCCGCAACGAGCGAAACCCUCAUCCUUAUUUGCCAGCGGUUCGGCCGGGGACUAUAAGGAAACUGCCGGUGAUAAACCGGAGGAAGGUGGGGACGAUGUCAAGUCAUCAUGGCCCUUAUGGGUUGGGCUACACGCGUGCUACAAUGGUAUCUACAGAGGGACGCAAUACGGCAACGUGGAGCAAAUCCUCAAAAGAUAUCUCAGUUCGGAUUGGUCUCUGCAACUCGAGACCAUGAAGUCGGAAUCACUAGUAAUCGCGGAUCAGCAUGCCGCGGUGAAUACGUUCUCGGGCCUUGUACACACUGCCCGUCACGCCAUGGGAGUUAGUUUUACCUGAAGGUGGCAAGCUAACGUAAGAGGCAACCAACCACGGUAGAAUUAGCGACUGGGGUGAAGUCGUAACAAGGUACC